This 555-nucleotide ribosomal RNA is filed under the name uncultured bacterium. RNAcentral describes it as "partial 16S ribosomal RNA". It matches the Rfam family "Bacterial small subunit ribosomal RNA", at positions 355 to 900 of the family's 1533-position model. The record is from RNAcentral.
UAGGGAAUCUUCCACAAUGGACGCAAGUCUGAUGGAGCAACGGCCGCGUGAGUGAAGAAGGUUUUCGGACCGUAAAGCUCUGUUGUUGGUGAAGAAGGAUAGAGGUAGUAACUGGCCUUUAUUUGACGGUAAUCAACCAGAAAGUCACGGCUAACUACGUGCCAGCAGCCGCGGUAAUCGUAGGUGGCAAGCGUUGUCCGGAUUUAUUGGGCGUAAAGCGAGCGCAGGCGGAAGAAUAAGUCUGAUGCGAAAGCCCUCGGCUUAACCGAGGAAUUGCAUCGGAAACUGUUUUUCUUGAGUGCAGAAGAGGAGAGUAGAACUCCAUGUGUAGCGGUGGAAUGCGUAGAUAUAUGGAAGAAUACCAGUGGCGAAGGCGGCUCUCUGGUCUGCAACUGACGCUGAGGCUCGAAAGCAUGGGUAGCGAACAGGAUUAGAUACCCUGGUAGUCCAUGCCGUAAACGAUGAGUGCUAAGUGUUGGGAGGCUUCCGCCUCUCAGUGCUGCAGCUAACGCAUUAAGCACUCCGCCUGGGGGAGUACGACCGCAAGGUUGAAAC